RNAcentral lists this non-coding RNA (24 nucleotides) under Arabidopsis thaliana (thale cress). The record is from RNAcentral. Lineage: Eukaryota; Viridiplantae; Streptophyta; Magnoliopsida; Brassicales; Brassicaceae.
AUCUAUCAUUCAGAUUUCAGAAUC